Molecule: ribosomal RNA, 483 nt
Filed under: uncultured Pseudomonadota bacterium
Lineage: Bacteria; Pseudomonadati; Pseudomonadota
Description: bacterial SSU rRNA
Rfam family: Bacterial small subunit ribosomal RNA
Source: RNAcentral
UGGGGAAUUUUGGACAAUGGGCGCAAGCCUGAUCCAGCCAUGCCGCGUGCGGGAAGAAGGCCUUCGGGUUGUAAACCGCUUUCGGCCGGAACGAAAUCGCCCGGGUGAAUAGCCCGGGUGGAUGACGGUACCGGAAGAAGAAGCACCGGCUAACUACGUGCCAGCAGCCGCGGUAAUACGUAGGGUGCGAGCGUUAAUCGGAAUUACUGGGCGUAAAGCGUGCGCAGGCGGUCUCGUAAGACAGGUGUGAAAUCCCCGGGCUCAACCUGGGAACUGCGCUUGUGACUGCGAGGCUGGAGUGUGGCAGAGGGAGGUGGAAUUCCACGUGUAGCAGUGAAAUGCGUAGAGAUGUGGAGGAACACCGAUGGCGAAGGCAGCCUCCUGGGCCAGCACUGACGCUCAUGCACGAAAGCGUGGGGAGCAAACAGGAUUAGAUACCCUGGUAGUCCACGCCCUAAACGAUGACGACUAGUUGUUGGGGUA